RNAcentral lists this long non-coding RNA (629 nucleotides) under Bos taurus (domestic cattle). RNAcentral's name for it is "long non-coding RNA NONBTAT022796". Lineage: Eukaryota; Metazoa; Chordata; Mammalia; Artiodactyla; Bovidae. The record is from RNAcentral.
CAAGAUUCUUGACAUUGUUUUAGCAUAUUAAAAUUUCAAAUUAGCUCGGGUAAAAAAGCCAUUCAUGUGAUUGUCUUGUAUAUACAUGGGCUUCUCCAGACUGGGUAAUCUCUGUGUGUGGAGCCAUGUUAUGGAGCCUUAGUUUUGAGUGAAAUGCUAAGCUUUUAGUGGUGACUUGUCACUCAGACCCUUUACAUAAUUCUUUUCCAUCUCUUCUGCUUUCUAUAAUUUACUUUGUACUUCAUUUUAGUGUAGUAUCUUCUUGUAGAGUAUAAGAAAGGAGAGACAAGUGCCUAGAUUUAAAAUAUAAGUGCCAUCCAGCAUCUCAUCACUCAAAGACCUUGACAGUUGAGUAUUUGGCUUAUUUUUUUCCCAGCAUUUUUCUUCUAGUUUUUCUCAAGGGGACGGUGCUUGUGCUAUACACUUAUGUUUUGCUUUCUUCACUUGCGUUUGUUAUAACAAAUGUUUUAAAAUACGGCGUUUAAAGAAUUUCUCAGAGAAUGUUUCUCACAUUUGCUGAGUAGUUUUUUCAGUCAUUAAGAUGAUUCCAUUUAUUGCUCAUUUUUCUUUUUUUGCAAUCAAUUGUAUUUAUUUUAUUUAGAGUAAUUGUAUGUGGGUCUGAUUCCAAG